ACACGAGGAAACUAGUGGUAAUACCGCAUACGCUCUACGGAGGAAAAUUUUUUUGCCGUGGGAUGAGCCUGCGUUAGAUUAGCUUGUUGGUAGGGUAAUGGCCUACCAAGGCGAUGAUCUAUAGCUGUUCUGAGAGGAAGAUCAGCCACACUGGGACUGAGACACGGCCCAGACUCCUACGGGAGGCAGCAGUGGGGAAUCUUGGACAAUGGGGGAAACCCUGAUCCAGCAAUGCCGCGUGUGUGAAGAAGGCCUGCGGGUUGUAAAGCACUUUUAGUAACGAAGAGGACUAUCUUCGGAUAGUCGGAC
Molecule: ribosomal RNA, 309 nt
Filed under: uncultured bacterium
Lineage: Bacteria
Description: bacterial SSU rRNA
Rfam family: Bacterial small subunit ribosomal RNA
Source: RNAcentral